Molecule: ribosomal RNA, 325 nt
Filed under: uncultured eukaryote
Lineage: Eukaryota
Description: partial 18S ribosomal RNA
Rfam family: Eukaryotic small subunit ribosomal RNA
Source: RNAcentral
CCCUUAGAUGUUCUGGGCCGCACGCGCGCUACACUGAUGCAUUCAACGAGCCUAUCCUUGACCGACAGGUCCGGGUAAUCUUUGAAUCUGCAUCGUGACGGGGAUAGAUUAUUGCAAUUAUUAAUCUUCAACGAGGAAUGCCUAGUAGGCGCAAGUCAUCAGCUUGCGUCGAUUACGUCCCUGCCCUUUGUACACACCGACCGUCGCUCCUACCGAUUGGGUGUGCUGGUGAAAUGUUCGGAUCGGCCGUUUGUCGCGGUUUCCGCGUCAUGUGGCUGAGAAGUUCAUUAAACCCUCCCACCUAGAGGAAGGAGAAGUCGUAACA